This is a long non-coding RNA of Esox lucius (northern pike), 3692 nucleotides long. NCBI's taxonomy places the organism in Eukaryota, Metazoa, Chordata, Actinopteri, Esociformes, Esocidae. The record is from Ensembl.
GGCGAAGCUCUCGAUUUACCAGUCAAUCUACGUUCCUACUCUCACCUAUGGUCAUGAGCUUUGAGUCAUGACCGAAAGGACAAGAUCCCGGAUACAGGCGACCGAAAUGAGCUUUCUCCGCUUGGUCACCCGGGAGGAGCUCAGAGUACAGCCGCUGCUCCUCCACAUCGAGAGGGGUCAGCUGAGGUGGCUUGGGCAUCUGUUUCGGAUGCCUCCGGAACGCCUUCCUGGGAAGGUGUUCCGGUCCCGUCCCACCGGAAGGAGACCCCGGGGAAGACCUAGGACACGCUGGAGGGACUAUGUCUCCCGGCUGGCCUGGGAAUACUUUUUUCCCACACUAUAUAUAAUACGUAUAAGCCUAGAUAAAUUACUCAAGGUUUGAGAUAAGUUACUCUAGGUUUGAGGGGAGAAAAUGUAAAAUAUGAAGAAAGGGCACCCUGGGCCGGUGAAGAGAACAUUUCAUGGAAAGGUACUGUAGAAUGGGAAAUAUAACUGGCACUAAAAUAGAUUCCUGAAAAUAGACUAAACAUUUUCAGGACUAAAAUGGCAUUUGUUGACUAAAAGUAGGAUAAAACUAAGAAUCCUCAAAAUCACUAAAAAUUUACUCAAAUGAAAGUGCAUGUUUGGUUAUGAAUAAAUCUAAAAUAUCUGCCAAAAUUAAUUGGAAGGGUAAUAAAAAAUGUGGGGUGAACUCAAUGCUAUAUUUUAGUCCUAGAAUGUUAUAUUUCUCUGAACUUAAAAAUAUCAGGACAGCUUCAAUAAACCUAGACAUAGAAUCUACAAGUGUUUUGAACUGUUGGAGGCAUGAGCCAUAAUUUUUCGUCAGGACAUUCUGGUGUUUUUUUUUUUUAUUGUUGUGCAAAACGAUUUCUUUGGCGCAAUUCAAGUAUCUUACAAGUGCUUAACUGGGUUGAGAUCUAGUCUAUAUAGAUGGAGAUGGCUAUGGCAUAUCAUUUGCACUGAACUGAUAUCACUUUUCUUAACACUAUAGCCAAAAUAGUAAACAACUGUGCCAGCCAGGCACUUUAAAACACAACCCUAAGCAUGACGGAAUGGUAACUGCAGAUUUUAGUGACUCAAUUGUUUCUGUAUGUUGAGGGUUACCUAUAUAACAAAUUAGAUCGUUACACAAAGAUGAAAUAGCGUUUUAAUGUAAACCUCAACACAUAAUGUAGCGUAAUGACUUACUAAUAUUCCCAUGGUGCUGACUCAUUGUUUUUGUCCAUUUCGAGUUGGAUUAUGUCUUCUUAUAUGCUCUGAAAAUACCCAGAAAACCAUAAGCAUGGAACCUAUAGGGGGUAAACAAAAUAUGACCUUUACCAAAAGCCACAUGCAAAUAAUAUGGCUUAUCUUUGUUUAUCUCUGCCAUCAUGCCUUAGAUUAGAUAUGUCACACACACAGUAUACAUAGUUAUGUAAAAUCAUUGUUGUUUUUAAUCACACCCAUCGAUAACAUUAGAAGGAUUAUAUGAAAAACUACAAUUUCAGUUCAUGUGUUUAUGAAGAGCAAUUGGUUUGAUUUACAAGGAUGACAACUCUUGCCUUGCCUUGCCUGCUGCUGGUAAAUAAAAUUAUAAUGCUAUAUAUAUACUCACACACAGACACACAAACACACGCACACACAGUCAUGGCACAGGAGAAGCUAAUAUCAAGGGAUAAAGAGUUUAGUGAGCAGAAUGGCUGUCUGGUGCCUUCCAGGUUGGUCUUUUUUUAAGGGGCUUUGCCCAAAACACCUCCCACAUGUGCCAUCUUCUAGACAGCUAUAAUAAACCUGCAUGAGACCAAACCCUGGCAUGGAGAGCAUAUCCACCACCACCUGAGAUGCUGCUUUUUUAAGCUAGCUCAUACUGUGCUGUAUCCAACCCAGCUUCAUGCUGUCUGUGGGCAUUUAGCUAUGCGAAUGUCAAAUGCACUACGCUGUUUUAAAAUGUUUUCUUAAGAAAAUAGGAACAUUUUGUCCAGCUUAUCAGAUAUUACUCAGUAAUUGCAUAAUGAUGUACAUCUGCGCCAGGCUGCAGUUACCGUGAGGUGUGGACUUUGUUUGAGAUACUGUGAAAUGUAGUUAAUAAAUAAUUUUCUUCUCGAAAAUGGGUUUCCUCCUGGGACAAUGAGGUAUAAAUAUCUUCACUAAACAUCUGACAAGGGAUGCUACAUGGUCAUUUGUAGUUUCUAUACGCUCAAUUAAAAUGCCAAAAGACAAGGCAUUGAACAGAAUGUUGACAUUAUUUUAAAUUAGGACAAUUAUUUUUGUCUAAUCACAUCUUUGGGCAUCUUUUUCGGAUGCCUCCGGAACGCCUUCCUGGGAAGGUGUUCCGGUCCUGUCCCACUGGGAGGAGACCCCGGGGAAGACCUAGGACACGCUGGAGGGACUAUGUCUCCCGGCUGGCCUGGGAACGGCUCGGAAGAGCUAGAGGAAGUGUCUGGGGAGAGGGAAGUCUGGGCAUCCCUGCUUAGACUGCUGCCCUCGCGACCCGGCCCCGGAUAAGCGGAAGAAGAUGGUAUGGUAUGGCACACAACAUCCUUGUACAAAACUACUGGGAUUGGAAUCUACAGCGUUCUGGUUACAAGUUACAGUUUUCUGCAAUACAUUCAAUAGAUUAACACCAAUGUUUAGGUGUAAGUUAAAUACAUUCACCUGGUUAAACUGUUUUGCACAGACAUGCAGUUCCAUUACUUUAUGUUUCCAGUAAAAACAUUUACAACCGUGAAUUCACUCAAUACAUUCCACUGCCCUCUCAUACCUUUUUCAGCAGCAAAGAAAACAUGUAAAAUGUCACUAUGAAGCAGUCCAAGAAAAUGGGCCGGUGAAAAAAUAAAUAGUUCACAGAUCACUACUGUACCUCAUAAAAAAUAUGACUGUCUUGAGAGUUGUAAUAUGAACAACUGUACAGUAUAUACGUGUUCUCAUUGUGUGUGUAUGCGCUGGUACGUGCGUCUGUUCACAGUCCCCGGGGCCAACUCUGAAGGUCUUAGCAUGGGCGGUAAAAAUGUGAAGCCAGCUUAAGGACAACGCCUUCACAAUUCAUUCAUCCCUGAAAAUGGGGUCGGCUCUUUUCUGAAAGCUAGUUCGUGACCACUGAUGCCUGUACAAACUUUGGAGGACAUGAGGUCUUGGCCCACACCUCCGGAGUACCUGAAUCGAAAGACUCGUUGCUGUCCCUAUGAAAAAGUAAUCCUGAUUGUGUUGCAGAUCAAGAUGAUACCUGAUGAUUCCAGCAGCCACUCCGCUGACAAUUCCCCCUGGGUUUGUCCCUGUUCUUGUCUGUCUGGUCCUGCUUCUGACCUGGAUUAGGUUUUAUAGACUCCGGACACAGCCCACAUUCAUUUAUUAAUUAUUGCAAUCUGUAAUCUUAAAAUGUUCACCCGGCAGAGCCAGAAGAGGAUGGCUCCCCCCUCCAAGCCUGGUUCCUCUCUAGGUUUCUUCCUAAAUAUUGGCUCCUUUUAGCAAGUUUUUCCUAGCCACUGUGCUUUAACGCCAAUGUUUCUUGCUCAUUGUGGUUUCAGGCUGGGUGUUUUCUAAAAGCACUUUGAUGUUUUUUUUUUUAAACUGCUGAUGUAAAAAGGGCUUUAUAAAUAAAUUUGAUUGAGUUAACCAUAAUUGCUCGCAGGUCAUUGCUGUAAAUUAAAAUGUGUUCUUAGUCAACUUAAAAUAAAUGUAAUAGCUAUUUCUCUAUUUGAGAAAUCACAAUGAAU